CCUACGGGAGGCUGCAGUGAGGAAUAUUGGUCAAUGGCCGAAAGGCUGAACCAGCCAAGUCGCGUGAAGGAAGAAGGACCUACGGGUUGUAAACCUCUUUUAUAGGGGAACAAAGGUAGUCACGUGUGGAUCAUUGAAAGUAACCGAAGAAAAAGCAUCGGCUAACGCCGUGCCAGCAGCCGCGGUAAUAAGGCGGAUGCGAGCGUUAUCCGGAUUUAUUGGGUUUAAAGGGUUAGCAGGUGGAGGUUAAAGUUAGCGGUAAAAUGUGGGGGCUAAACCCCGUAUUGCCGUUGAAACUGCAUCCCUUGAGUGUGUGUGAGGUAUGCGGAAUGCGUGGUGUAGCGGUGAAAUGCAUAGAUAUCACGCAGAACUCCGAUUGCGAAGGCAGCAUACUGGGGCCUGACUGACGCUGAGGCACGAAAGCGUGGGGAUCGAACAGGAUUAGAUACCCGAGUAGUC
This 459-nucleotide ribosomal RNA is filed under the name uncultured bacterium. RNAcentral's name for it is "partial 16S ribosomal RNA". It matches the Rfam family "Bacterial small subunit ribosomal RNA", at positions 338 to 795 of the family's 1533-position model. The record is from RNAcentral.